UACGGAGGAUCCAAGCGUUAUCCGGAAUUACUGGGCGUAAAGAGUUGCGUAGGUGGCAUAGUAAGCAAAUGGUGAAAGCGUGGGGCUCAACCUCAUAUCCAUCAUUUGAACUGCUAAGCUAGAGGACGAGAGAGGUAGAUGGAAUUCCCUGUGUAGGAGUGAAAUCCGUAGAUAUAGGGAGGAACACCGAUGGCGUAGGCAGUCUACUGGCUCGUUCCUGACACUAAGGCACGAAAGCGUGGGGAGCAAACUGG
RNAcentral lists this unclassified non-coding RNA (254 nucleotides) under Patescibacteria group bacterium. RNAcentral describes it as "contains 16S-23S intergenic spacer region". It matches the Rfam family "Bacterial small subunit ribosomal RNA", at positions 524 to 776 of the family's 1533-position model. The record is from RNAcentral.